GGUAACAUGGCCGAGACCAGGCGGCGGGUUGUAAACCCGCGGACAGGGCGCAAGACCCUUGGUGCCAA
This 68-nucleotide transfer RNA is filed under the name Pachydactylus latirostris. RNAcentral's name for it is "Pachydactylus mariquensis latirostris tRNA-Tyr". Lineage: Eukaryota; Metazoa; Chordata; Lepidosauria; Squamata; Gekkonidae. The record is from RNAcentral.